RNAcentral lists this ribosomal RNA (497 nucleotides) under uncultured bacterium. Its description in RNAcentral is "partial 16S ribosomal RNA". It matches the Rfam family "Bacterial small subunit ribosomal RNA", at positions 28 to 507 of the family's 1533-position model. The record is from RNAcentral.
GAUGAACGCUGGCGGCGUGCCUAAUACAUGCAAGUCGAGCGAACGGACGAGAUGCUUGCUUCUCUGAUGUUAGCGGCGGACGGGUGAGUAACACGUGGAUAACCUACCUAUAAGACUGGGAUAACUUCGGGAAACCGGAGCUAAUACCGGAUGAUAUUUUGAACCGCAUGGUUCAAAAGUGAAAGACGGUCUUGCUGCCACUUAUAGAUGGAUCCGCGCUGCAUUAGCUAGUUGGUAAGGUAACGGCUUACCAAGGCAUCGAUGCAUAGCCGACCUGAGAGGGUGAUCGGCCACACUGGAACUGAGAAACGGUCCAGACUCCUACGGGAGGCAGCGGUAGGGAAUCUUCCGCAAUGGGCGAAAGCCUGACGGAGCAACGCCGCGUGAGGGAUGAAGGUCUUCGGAUCGUAAAACUCUGUUAUAAGGGAAGAACAUAUGUGUAGGUAACUGUGCACAUCGUGACGGUACCUAAUCAGAAAGCCACGGCUAACUACGUG